AACGUAGGUGGCAAGCGUUAUCCGGAUUCACUGGGCGUAAAGCGCGUGCAGGUGGCUCUGUAAGUUGGAUGUUAAAUCUCUCGGCCUAACCGGGAGUGGUCAUUCAAUACUGCGGGGCUUGAGGGCAGAAGAGGGGGGUGGAAUUGCCGGUGUAGUGGUGAAAUGCGUAGAUAUCGGCAGGAACACCUGUGGCGAAAGCGGCCCCCUGGUCUGCUCCUGACACUCAGACGCGAAAGCUAGGGUAGUGAACGGG
Molecule: ribosomal RNA, 253 nt
Filed under: uncultured bacterium
Lineage: Bacteria
Description: partial 16S ribosomal RNA
Rfam family: Bacterial small subunit ribosomal RNA
Source: RNAcentral